Molecule: long non-coding RNA, 1222 nt
Organism: Magnolia sinica
Lineage: Eukaryota; Viridiplantae; Streptophyta; Magnoliopsida; Magnoliales; Magnoliaceae
Exons: 3
Source: RefSeq, a predicted model, not a curated record
AAAACAUGCAUAUUUAGGUUUACAAUUUCAUAUGAGAUUUUUAUUGAAGUUCAACCUAGUAAAUUUGUUUUCCAUUUUUUUUUUUGUUGAAAUAUGUAUCCUCUGACAUGCAUCAUCAUCUCAUUUUUUUUUUUUUUAAUUUUUGUUUCAUUUUGUUUUUUGUUUUUUCGUUUUUUUUUUUUUUAAUGUGAUUUGUUUAUGUUAUAUAGAUAUGUUAUAUGUAUACAAACAUGCUACAAGGAUUUAAUUGUGUUUAUUUUAUUUGUAUCAUGCAGAAGGCUUCCUUCUACAAAUGUUCAGUCACCUGACAUAAAUGCACUGUAGUUCUAGAAAUGAGAAGAUGUGUGAAGUCGUGCGGGAUGUUGCAAACUAUUUCCCAACGGCAAUAAUUAGUGGAAGAUGACGUGAUAAGGCAUUGUCACGGAUGGCACAUGGCCCAAAUAUGCUAGUCAGUGCAUCAUAGCUGCCGAGUGGACUUAUGGGAUUACAAAUGUUCUGAAGACGGGUAUUGAUGCUGCCAAGUUCCUUGCAUAUUAAGAUAAGUUUACCAAAUUCAUUCUGUGAACCAAAGCUUAAACACUCUGCAACUGAAUGUUCGAACUCAGCGCUGUUGGAUGGUUGUAAUGAAUUCUCUAUAUCUUGGAUCCCCAUUCGCAUUGAGUUUGUGUUAGCAUUAUCGUCUAUUUUGAAGUCUCGGCUACUUUGACCCCUUUCCAUCUUGGUCACAUUCUUGUUUUUUUUUUUUUGGCUGACGUAUAUAUGGGGGCUAAUCCCUUCGCACUCAGCCUCUCAUACAAACUCUGCUAUUUGUAGUUGGCAUAUGGUGGUAUCAAUGGUUGCAUGACAAACUGUACCACUGCCCCAUUGUUCGAGGCAUUUGGAGGAGUGCCCUUUCAGUCAGGUCCAUAUGAGUCCAUCCAAAAAAAAAAAACAGGGGCAUGCAUUGGGUACAUCGCCGGUAUCAGUCAAAUACAUCCAAUACAACAUGGAGGCUGGAAUUUGAAUUUUGUUUUUGUUUUUGUUUUUUUUCUAAAUCUCUCUUCUUUUUUUAUUUUAUAAUAGGUGGACUGUGUGUAUGUAAAACAAAUGAAUGGUCAAUAGAAUUGACCAACAACCCAUGGUGCAGGUGAACAAGUUCCCUUUCUUUUUCUUUUUUAAAUAAUGUUUGUACUAUUCCCUUUUUACUUUUAAGAUUGGCUGGUUUUCAAAUGGCUAUAGAUUG